Molecule: ribosomal RNA, 859 nt
Filed under: Klebsiella pneumoniae
Lineage: Bacteria; Pseudomonadati; Pseudomonadota; Gammaproteobacteria; Enterobacterales; Enterobacteriaceae
Description: bacterial SSU rRNA
Rfam family: Bacterial small subunit ribosomal RNA
Source: RNAcentral
CCUGAUGCAGCCAUGCCGCUGUGUGUGAAGAAGGCCUUCGGGUUGUAAAGCACUUUCAGCGGGGAGAGAAGGCGUUAAGGUUAAUAACCUUGGCGAUUGACGUUACCCGCAGAAGAAGCACCGGCUACUCCGUGCCAAGCAGCCGCGGUAAUACGGAGGGUGCAAGCGUUAAUCGGAAUUAUCUGGGCGUAAAGCGCACGCGGCGGUCUGUCAAGUCGGAUGUGAAAUCCCCGGGCUCAACCUGGGAACUGCAUUCGAAAACUGGCAGGUCUAGAGUCUUGUAGAGGGGGGUAGAAUUCCAGGUGUAGCGGUGAAAUGCGUAGAGAUCUGGAGGAAUACCGGUGGCGAGGCGGCCCCCUGGACAAAGACUGACGCUCAGGUGCGAAAGCAGUGGGGAGCAAACAGGAUUAGAUCCCUGGUAGUCCACGCCGUAAACGAUGUCGAUUUGGAGGUUGUGCCCUUGAGGCGUGGCUUCCGGCUAACGCGUUAAAUCGACCGCCUGGGGAGUACGGCCGCAAGGUUAAAACUCAAAUGAAUUGACGGGGGCCCGCACAAGGGUGGAGCAUGUGGUUUAAUUUUCGAUGCAACGCGAAGAACCUUACCUGGUCUUGACAUCUCACAGAAACUAGCAGAGAUGACUUUGGUGCCUUCGGGAACUUUGUGAGACAGGUGCUGCAUGGCUGUCGUCAGCUCGUGUUGUGAAAUGUUGGGUUAAGUCCCGCACGAGCGCAACCCUUAUCCUUUGUUGCCAGCGGUCCGGCCGGGAAACUCAAAGGAGUACUGCCAGUGAUAACUGGAGGUAGGUGGUGGAUGACGUCAAGUCAUCAUGGCCCUUACGACCAAGGGCUACACACGUGCU